CGGUAAUACGGAGGGUGCAAGCGUUAAUCGGAAUUACUGGGCGUAAAGCGUGCGUAGGUGGUUUGUUAAGUUAGAUGUGAAAGCCCUGGGCUCAACCUAGGAACUGCAUUUAAAACUGGCGAACUAGAGUAUAGGAGAGGAAAGUGGAAUUUCAGGUGUAGCGGUGAAAUGCGUAGAUAUCUGAAGGAACAUCAAUGGCGAAGGCAGCUUUCUGGACUAAUACUGACACUGAGGUACGAAAGCGUGGGUAGCAAACAGGAUUAGAUACCCUGGUAGUCCACGCCGUAAACGAUGACAACUAGCCGUUGGGAGGAUUUACCUCUUAGUGGCGAAGCUAACGCGUUAAGUUGUCCGCCUGGGGAGUACGGCCGCAAGGCUAAAACUCAAAGGAAUUGACGGGGACCCGCACAAGCGGUGGAGCAUGUGGUUUAAUUCGAUGCAACGCGAAGAACCUUACCUGGUCUUGACAUACACGGAACUUUCCAGAGAUGGAUUGGUGCCUUCGGGAACCGUGAUACAGGUGCUGCAUGGCUGUCGUCAGCUCGUGUCGUGAGAUGUUGGGUUAAGUCCCGUAACGAGCGCAACCCUUAUCCUUAUUUGCCAGCACAUCAUGGUGGGAACUAUAAGGAGACUGCCGGUGAUAAACCGGAGGAAGGCGGGGACGACGUCAAGUCAUCAUGGCCCUUACGACCAGGGCUACACACGUGCUACAAUGGGAAGGACAAAGGGUCGCAACCUCGCGAGAGCAAGCUAAUCUCAUAAACCUUUUCGUAGUCCGGUCGGAGUCUGCAACUCGACUCCGUGAAGUCGGAAUCGCUAGUAAUCGUGGAUCAGAAUGCCACGGUGAAUACGUUCCCGGG
This 860-nucleotide ribosomal RNA is filed under the name uncultured bacterium. RNAcentral's name for it is "bacterial SSU rRNA". It matches the Rfam family "Bacterial small subunit ribosomal RNA", at positions 518 to 1378 of the family's 1533-position model. The record is from RNAcentral.